Macaca fascicularis (crab-eating macaque) is the source of this 195-nucleotide small nuclear RNA. Its record names the gene U2. It matches the Rfam family "U2 spliceosomal RNA". From Rfam's summary of the family: U2 is a small nuclear RNA (snRNA) component of the spliceosome (involved in pre-mRNA splicing). Complementary binding between U2 snRNA (in an area lying towards the 5' end but 3' to hairpin I) and the branchpoint sequence (BPS) of the intron results the bulging out of an unpaired adenosine, on the BPS, which initiates a nucleophilic attack at the intronic 5' splice site, thus starting the first of two transesterification reactions that mediate splicing. NCBI's taxonomy places the organism in Eukaryota, Metazoa, Chordata, Mammalia, Primates, Cercopithecidae. The record is from Ensembl.
AUCGUUUUUCAGCGUUUUAGCUAAGAUCAAGCGUAGUAUUUGUUCUUGUCAUUAUCAGUUUGACGUCUGAUACAUUCUGUAUCUGAGGAAAAUAAGUUAGAUGGGUUUUUGGAGCAGGGAGAUGGCAUGGGAGCUUGUCCUGUCUACUGCACGUAUCGACAAGAAUGGUGCACUUCCUUGAGGGAUACAAUGUCU